Molecule: ribosomal RNA, 253 nt
Filed under: uncultured bacterium
Lineage: Bacteria
Description: partial 16S ribosomal RNA
Rfam family: Bacterial small subunit ribosomal RNA
Source: RNAcentral
UACGUAGGGUGCAAGCGUUAAUCGGAAUUACUGGGCGUAAAGCGUGCGCAGGCGGUUUUGUAAGUCUGUCGUGAAAGCCCCGGGCUCAACCUGGGAAUUGCGUUGGAGACUGCAAGGCUAGAAUCUGGCAGAGGGGGGUAGAAUUCCACGUGUAGCAGUGAAAUGCGUAGAGAUGUGGAGGAACACCGAUGGCGAAGGCAGCCCCCUGGGUCAAGAUUGACGCUCAUGCACGAAAGCGUGGGGAUCAAACAGG